RNAcentral lists this ribosomal RNA (495 nucleotides) under uncultured bacterium. RNAcentral's name for it is "partial 16S ribosomal RNA". It matches the Rfam family "Bacterial small subunit ribosomal RNA", at positions 28 to 507 of the family's 1533-position model. The record is from RNAcentral.
GACGAACGCUGGCGGCGCGCCUAAUACAUGCAAGUAGAACGCUGAAGGAGGAGCUUGCUUCUCUGGAUGAGUUGCGAACGGGUGAGUAACGCGUAGGUAACCUGCCUGGUAGCGGGGGAUAACUAUUGGAAACGAUAGCUAAUACCGCAUAAUAGUAGAUGUUGCAUGACAUUUGCUUAAAAGGUGCAAUUGCAUCACUACCAGAUGGACCUGCGUUGUAUUAGCUAGUUGGUGGGGUAACGGCUCACCAAGGCGACGAUACAUGGCCGACCUGAGAGGGUGAUCGGCCACACUGGGACUGAGACACGGCCCAGACUCCUACGGGAGGCAGCAGUAGGGAAUCUUCGGCAAUGGACGGAAGUCUGACCGAGCAACGCCGCGUGAGUGAAGAAGGUUUUCGGAUCGUAAAGCUCUGUUGUAAGAGAAGAACGAGUGUGAGAGUGGAAAGUUCACACUGUGACGGUAUCUUACCAGAAAGGGACGGCUAACUACGUG